GAACGCUGGCGGCAGGCCUAACACAUGCAAGUCGAACGGUAACAGGAAGAAGCUUGCUCUUGCUGACGAGUGGCGGACGGGUGAGUAAUGUCUGGGAAACUGCCUGAUGGAGGGGGAUAACUACUGGAAACGGUAGCUAAUACCGCAUAACGUCGCAAGACCAAAGAGGGGGACCUUCGGGCCUCUUGCCAUCGGAUGUGCCCAGAUGGGAUUAGCUAGUAGGUGGGGUAACGGCUCACCUAGGCGACGAUCCCUAGCUGGUCUGAGAGGAUGACCAGCCACACUGGAACUGAGACACGGUCCAGACUCCUACGGGAGGCAGCAGUGGGGAAUAUUGCACAAUGGGCGCAAGCCUGAUGCAGCCAUGCCGCCGUGUAUGAAGAAGGCCUUCGGGUUGUAAAGUACUUUCAGCGGGGAGGAAGGGAGUAAAGUUAAUACCUUUGCUCAUUGACGUUACCCGCAGAAGAAGCACCGGCUAACUCCGUGCCAGCAGCCGC
RNAcentral lists this ribosomal RNA (497 nucleotides) under uncultured bacterium. RNAcentral's name for it is "bacterial SSU rRNA". It matches the Rfam family "Bacterial small subunit ribosomal RNA", at positions 31 to 518 of the family's 1533-position model. The record is from RNAcentral.